GGCACAAUAGUAUAAUUGACAUAAGAAUGCGGAAACAACAUAUAGUCCACGCUGAAAUCAAUGAAGUAAGAAAAUGGAAACUUAAUUCAUUCGCAAACAUAACAUUAUUUGUUAUACAAAAAUGAAAAUAACAGAUAUUAACUAUCAAAACAAACAUAACCAAUUCAUAUAGUCAUGCAGAUCGAAAUUAUCAAUCAGACGAUAUAUUUAUCAAUCUUGCAAAGAAACAAAAACAAAGAUUUUACAAUUAAGAGAGAUGAAGAUCGGACCGUAAUGCUUUCAUUCCCCAGAAGAAGAGAUGAGAUGGGAUUCAGAUUCAGACAAUAAUACCUAUCGAUGUAACCUUUUCUUUUCCCCAAAAGAAGUACACAUCAAAUUCCCACCAUCAUGGAUCCAUCAUCCUUUUAGGAGAUGCUUGUUUUGUUUUUUUCCUCUUACUCUCUUGAACAAGAACAACAAGGCCAAGAUCUCCAUCGUGUGUUUCGUAUGUCUGAAAAUCCCUCUGAACUUUUUAUUAUAGUUUUGAUGAGACUUGUUUGGUGGAAGUUUGGUGGUUCUGAUGAUGAUGAGAGAGAGCGAAGAAAUUAUGGCUUAUAAAAAAGAAGAAGAGACAUGAUGAUUACUGAUUGGUACAAACAUUGAAAAUAGUUAUAAAAAGAGAAGUAAAUUGUCAAAACAAUCACAACUAUUUACUCUACCUACGUAUGGGUUAUAUAACAUAAAUAUACGAAUUUGUUAUACAUAUGGGGUAUGAACUUAUGACUGCGUAUAAUGAGAUUUGAGGACCGUGUUCAAAACUUUCCUUUUAACAAUCGUUGCAUAUAAAAAAUACAUAACAUGUGAUCUACAGUGCAUAUCUUGCUUUUGGGCUCUUGAGUUGAUAGCGUAUUACAUUGAGGAUGUGAGUUAAUGAAGCCCUAAACAUAUAGUGUUGUUUGACCUUUUUAGUGUUGCUUUAUAUAAUAGGUCAUCGUUUGCUAAGUUUAUAUCCAUGCAUAUGUACCUUCUUGAGGUAGGAUUUUUAUGCCCCUCAAAAUAUGGAAAUUGUACAAUACAUAUACUCCAAAAAAAUCACUCGUGGGUAUUCUUUGGAUUGGGAUAUUCUUGGUUUUCACUUUUCAUAUAUCAUCUGAAAAAGUUUAGUUUGGACAAAAUGGCUGUACCGGGAAAAAACAAAAUAGACCGUUAGGUGCCUUGUCUCUCAAAUCAAUAUCAAUAAUAUGCUCUAAUAUAUUGUACCUUGUAACAUGUAAAUGGGUCCAUAAAAAUCAGAUAAUAAGUGGGGGUUUUCAUUUAUUUUUUAAAUGCGUAGUUAGAUAUGUUCUAAUUGAUUUUUCUUAUCAUUGUGAUAUAUAAGUAAGAGAUCAUUAUUUCUAAUGGAUAUAUGAUAUCUUGGAUUGGGUAUUGUGACUAAACUUCGUCUUCUAUAACUUUUUGACUUCAAUCAAUAAUCAAUUUGUAGCUGAUGGAAACUUCUCAUUCUACCAAAACAAAAGCCCUACUAUUUGGUGGGUUGCAAGUGAUCACUAAGCCAUCUUCCUAAAAUAUUUUUGUAUGUUUAAAUAGUUGAGUUACCAGUAAUUAGAAAACUUUGCAAAAACCAAAAAAGAAAAAGAGUGAUUAGCCAAAUGCACUUUCAAAUAGAAAAUCAACAAAAUACGCAAAUAUAGAGGUUUACCAUAUAUGUAAAAAAACAUCUGAAAAAAGUUCGUCACAAUAAAGAGAAAAUUUUGGACAAUAGAGAUAUUGACGGAGUACAUGUAUGUGAUAUUGUUGCAAAAGGAUAGCCUCAAACUCAUAUUCAUAGGAAAAGACCACAAACUUUAUUUGUUAUGAAUCCAUUUAGUUACAACGUCAUGUUAAGUAGAUUCUUAAAAAACUAUAGAAGUAAUUAUUAUCCUAAAUAGUAUCAACAUAAGACAACAUAUUCGAUUGAGAUAAUAGUUGGGGCAGUCCGUAGUCGUCAGAGAAAGAUUAACAUCACAUACUUUUUUGGCUUAUCGUUCACUUUUCAUUUUAAGUGGUAGUUGGGUUUUACACUUUAUAUAUUGAACCUAGAUAACAACUGUUGUGAAUUCUCUGUUUUUGAUUCGACCCUCUUUUGAACCAUGGUUAUAUAAUUGUUCUCGACAGACCUCAAGAUUUUUUUGUUUUAAACUGAUUACAAAAAUCUUAUAUACACAUGCACAUAGUAAAGUCUAAACCAAAGCAAUAUAAUAGAUAUAAAUGUUCAGUCAGAGUUUCUAUUAUCAAUCUUGCAAAGAAAUGAAAAUAUCUUUCGAUAGAUGAAGAUUAAGAUUCAGACAAUAACAUGCAACCUUUUUCUUUCCCCCCAAAAACACAUCGAUCACCCACCAUCAAUCCAUCAUGGAUCGAUCAUCCAUUUAGGGACCUAUUUACGUUUGAUUUUUUUUUUCCUAUAACUUUCUUUAAUAAGGACAACAAGGCCAAGAUCUUCAUCGUGUGUUUCGUGUGUCUCAAAAUCCCUCUAAACUUUUUAUUGUAGUUUGGUGAGACUUGUUUGGUGGUGCUGAUGAUGAUGAGAGAGAGAGAGAGAGAGAGCGCGCGAGGAAAUCAUGGCUGGUAAACAGAAGAAGAGACAUGAUGAUUACUGAUUGAAAUAUUAUAUAUGUACACCAUUGAAAUAAGUUAUAAAAGUGUCGUAAAUCGUCAAAAGAAUCAGUAGUAUAUAUCUACUCUAUAUGAUCUAUAUACACCAUUCAUAUAUAAAAGAAUCACAAGUAUGUUAUUGAGGAUGUGUGUCAAUGAAGCCCUACGAGAAAGGUCUGUGCACUACCAAAAAAGAGACACAUAGUUUGUUUGAGUUUUUUUAUUGGGUUCAUUUGUUAAAUUUAUAUCCAUAAAUACCUCCUUGAGGUAUAGCCGUACAGGGUUUUUUUGCAGUUCAAGAUAUGGCAUUUGUAUGAAACUUAUAUACCCGCCAAAAAAAACAUACCUAGGUCACCCGUGGGUAUUUUUUGAUUGGGACAAACUGGCUGUAGGGAAAGAAAAAACAGACAACGUUAGGUGCCUUGUCUCUCAAAUCACUUAUCAGGACUCAGGAGCAAUAAUUUGUUCGAACCAAUUGUACGUUGUAACAUCUAAAUGGGUCCAUAACAAUCAGAUAAUAAAAUUUUAUCAUCUUUCUUAAUUUAUUUAUUUCCAAAUAACUUUCUUUAUCAUGUUUCUUAAUUACGUUGAUGCAUGUUUAGAUAGCCGAAACAAAUCACUAUUACUUUGAUUCUUAUUAUUUAUUUAUCAAUUUCUGGAUUCAUGACAUUUGAAAAACUAAAUGAUGUAUUACUGUGCAUUUGCAAUUCAAUCGAUCUUAAAGUCUUAAAAUCAACUAGACGAUAAAACGGUCUAUUUCCCUAUAGAACUAGAUAUAUAUACUAUGCAUUGUGAUAUAGAAUUAAGAGAUUACUGUUUCUUUGGAUGUAUGAUCUUUUAUCAGAAUAAACUUCUUAUUUUGUCUUCAGAAAUAAUCUUGACUUCGAUCAAUCAUUAUUUCGUAAGCGAUAAAAACUUCUGAUUAUCUACCAAAAAAUGAUUUCAAUAUAUUGUGACAUUGUUGCAAUACGAUAACCACAAACUCAUAUUCAUAGGGAAAUGUUUUAACAAACUUUGUUACAAAUUCAUCUACUUACAACGUGAUGCUCAAUCAUUGAUAUACAUUAUAAAAAGAAUUAUUAUCUUAAAAUAGUAUCAACAUAAGACAACAUGCUCGAUCGAGAUAAUACAUGUGCCAGCGCAGUCCAUAGUCGUCAGAAAAAGAUCAACAUCAAAUACUUUUUAGGCUUAUCGCGCACUUUUCACUUUAAGAGGUUAUUGUGAUUACACUUUACGUAUUGAACCUAAAUAUCAAUUUCACAGUUGGAAGUUUACAAAAAUAAUGCCAGUGUCGAUCCUAGGAUGAUGCGAAACCAAAAGAUGAUGUUACAUAUAUAUACACAUGCACAUUUAGUAUUCUGGUUAUCAAGAUAAGGAUGAAAAGACUAAUUAAACCAAAGCAGUGUCUAUGACAUUGCAAGCAUUCUCCAACCCAUAAGACAAAAUUGAUUCUACAAACUUUCAUAUCAUCAGAAUCUAUGAAAUGAAUCAACAACUAUCACAUCUCAGCAGCAAAGUUAAAGGACUUUCCACAUGAUCUAUAUUUAUAAGGGUAUCGUUAAGAUCUUCUCACAUGUGUGGCACGUGACAUAUUUAAUAUUCUUGAUGGGCUUUUCUGUUUUUUAUGGGCCUUUUCGAAUUUCAGGGUUUUAAAUAAGUUAGAAAUUAGAUAAAUAAAAAACAAAUUAGCAAAAAAUAACGAAGUGUCUCGUCUCUUCUCUCUUGUCUUCUCCAGAUCAGUGUUUGUGGGGUUUUCCCAAUGGAGCUUCUUCUCUCAUUGUCUCUCCUCCUGGGGUUUUGGUGUAACAACAAUCCUCAAUUCACGAGGCAUGAAUCAUUAUUCUCCCCAUUUGCUUAUUCUCUGGCUAGAAUCCCCAGAUUUUACUGUAUCGACUUUGGGAAUUUAACUGGAGAACCAUUUCCACUCAAACUGGGAAACAAAAACCUGUUAUUGAACAAUGGCCACUCAUUCAUCGAGAUCGGAGAAUAAAGACGCCGGAGAAGAAGAUGAGCUCCGACGAAGGAACCCUUAUGAAGUCCUUGGCAUCCCCAGCAAUUCGACUGAUCAAGAGAUCAAAAGUGCUUAUCGGAGAAUGGCUCUCAGGUUUUUCAAAAAGAUUGAAACUUUGCGUUGAUUAAGAUGCAAUUUAGGUUUAGAAUUGAUUUAAGAGGUUUAGAAUUUGUGCGAGUGUUGUAUCUGUGUUAAAGUUGAUUACUUGGUGGUUACAUGUACUGAAGUUUGGUUCUUCAGGUACCAUCCUGAUAAGAAUCCAGACGACCCGGUUGCAGCAGAGAUGUUUAAGGAAGUUACAUUUGCUUAUGAGGUCUUGUCUGAUCCUGAGAAUCGGCGUCUAUAUGAUACUACUGGCUCUGAGGUGAGAAUUUCAGACAAUUCCUGAGUUUUAACAUCGCUGGUUGGUUUGCAAAGUUAGCAUUGAAGAGAAUAUUAUAUAAUGGGAAAGUUUGGAAUUGAAUAGUUUAGCAUUAGAGUAGCGGCCAUGCUAAAUUACCUAAGGCUAUAGUUUCUAGUUCUUCUUUAGAUGACCCUUUGUUCAUAAUCAUUUGCGAUUUGAUAUCUAAGUUUUAUUGAUUCACAUGGGAUGUAGGCUGUGGGUCCGGAAAAUGAAGACCUAGAGCUCGAUCUGUCAAGCUUAGGAGCUGUUAAUACUAUAUUUGCUGCAUUGUUCAAGUGAGUUUCGUAGACUUGCUCUAUUCUCUGUUUUUUCAUUCUUCUUGGUUCUGAAAGAGAAUGUUAUCAAUUGUUUUACUUUUGUUUGUGAGAUAACUUCGAAACUUGACUAUUUUUGUCCUCCACAGUAAGCUUGGUGUGCAAAUUAAGACAACUGUUUCUGCAAAUUUAUUGGGGGAGGCGUUGAAUGGUACGGUUACUACUUUGCCUCUCAUGGUUGGGCAAGUCGUGUCCAGGAAGGUAUGAUAAUGAGAGUCUUAAUGUGGAUUUGUCAUCUGUAACAUAUUUUCUUCUUUGCAUUAAUGUGGAUUUGUCAUCUGUAACAUAUUUUCUUCUCUAACAGGUUGAAAAGCAAUCGGCUCACUUUUAUUCGGUUACGUUAACAGAGGAAGAAGCUCAGGAUGGAUUGAUAUGUAAGGUGCAUUCAUCUGCUAAAAACAAAUUCAAGGUUCAUUUUCCCAAACUCUUACCUUGCGUGCUCAAGAAUCUCGUAGCUGUUUUUCCUGUUCUGUAUUUUACCUCUGAUUCCUUUUGCUUUCCAGUUGCUUUACUUUGACCAAGUAGAGAAUGGAGGACUGAGCUUGGCCCUACAGGUAUGAAGUUUUAUACUAUUAGUUUGUUGAGUAACUAACUUCUUGUCACAUCUCCGGAUUACAUCAUAGAGUGGUUUGAUCAGAUUUGUUUUAUACUUUGCUAUUCUCAUUAACCUGUAACGUGGCAUCCGGUCGAAUCAUCAUGGCUUUGAAGCUUCUUUCGGUUUCUAAAUAGUAUUUUAUUUUCCUCCAUUCUGCAAAAGGAAGACAGCAGGAAAACAGGAAAGCUCUCGACUGCAGGGUUGUAUUUUUUCGGCUUCCCUGUUUAUCGUUUCGAUCACAGGGUUAAUUCAGUUAAUUAUUUUCUCUACCCUCUUAAGCUAAACACGUUUAUUUUCUUCUUCUGAUUACCAUGUACUCAGUUUUCACUCUUCUGCACGCAGAGGGCUCUCUCAAGGGAUCCAGAGACCGGAUUUUUCAAAAGGCUUGAUGCAUUCCAACCGUUUGAGAUCACUGAACUUAAAGCUGGUUCUCAUGUCUUUGCUGUUUAUGGUAAUGUUUGUUUUAUUUGCUUACAGGAUUCAAGGAAUUUGUAGUCUACUCUAUUAGAAGUAAAGUAACCUCACUUGGUGUCAUAUUUCUCUAGGUGACAAUUUUUUCAAAAGUGUGAGCUACACUCUAGAAAUAUUCUCAUCUGCUCCAUUCGGUAACGAGAAAGAGAGUCUUCGGUCCACUGAAGCGCAGAUAGUCUCAAAAAGAACAGAGCUAUUGAAGUUUGAAGCUGAAUAUCACGAGGUCUUUGCACAAUUCACAGAAAUGGCUAGCAAAUGCACAGGGGAAGUACAAGAGGUGAGAGACAGCUUACAAUAUCACCCCGUUUUCUCCUGUUUUCUUGAUUACAUAAUAAACAAGUAACUUAGAUUUGUUUUGUUUGCAGAUUGAUGAGCUUCUAAAGAGGAGGAAUGAGAUAUGUGCGGCUUACACAAUCUUCCCACCAACGAAGCAAGGUUCAAGCAAGAGCAGAAGCUGGAGCAAGAAGAAGAGCAGUCUUUUAAUGGAACCUAGAGAAGAAGGAGAAGUCGCAGUUAGGGAAGAAGGUGGAGUCAAGAAGAAGAAAUGGUACAAUAUUCAGCUGAGGCAAGACAAGAAAAAAAACUGAAGAGACUACUGCAAUCUUGAGUUUUCUUCAGGCACAUAGCUAUGUUCGAGAAACGAUAUAUAUAUGUUUCAGUGAUAAUCUUUAGGGAUUAUCAACAUCUUAUAAAAAGUGGUCUAUGGUUUAUCUCUUUGCACACUUUGCCUGAUUCAUCUCUUCGUAUACUUCUACGGAUUCAGAUUUACAUUCUCUGUUCGCAGUACUGUCAACUUCGUCUUCUUCAGAAGCUUUGCUGAAUUCAUAUGUGUCCUGCUGAUUACGCCGCCAUCUUCUUCCUCACCGGAUCCUGGUUUUAACGUAACAUUUUGCUCCAAAAAAAGAAAAGUAAAACCCUAUAAAAAAAAGGAAAACCAAAAAGUGGAGUCUCUAUGCAAUAGAUAUAAUUGCUUUGGUAACAUUUUAGAGAAGAAAUGGGUGGAUCUUGGUUCAAGAACUAAUUCCAAGUCUAAUUUUGUAAUCUCAAAAUCACUGCAAAUGUCACAAACAAACCAAAGCACCAUUUCGACAAACAUCAGAAACCCACAAUCCAUAAGACGUUUUCCAAGUUGUUAGGUUACUUACUUGUUUGGAAUUAAAUAAACUUUAUCCCUUUGGUUUUGUUGGUUUAGUUAAGGUUGGUAAUCACUUGAUAUUCAUAUACUCAAGACUUGGAGCGUCGACUUCAACAACAAGAUCCUCAAACUCGAGAUGCUAAGACUGAAACUAGUGUGAAGCUUUCCAAUGGUUGUGAACGAAAUCACAAAACUUUGAUAUAAUUGUCGGAUAAGUGAUCACGGUUAAAUCCUCAAGAAUAGGACAACUUAAUUAGAGAGUCUCCAAAAUGGAAUCGUCAUCAAACUUGACCUUCUCUAAAUACAUAGCAUUGACACAAGGUAUAGAAACCGAUUUUGAAUUUGGAUUAUCAAAUACAACACAUUAGAGAGUCAAAUUCACCAAAUUCGAACAUGUAUAGAGCGAGAAAGGCAUCAUAACUAAGGUUCCAAAGACUCUAAAAAACGUUAGAGAGUUAAGAUGCCUAUCUUGUUCUAUUUUUGUGCGACUUUGGUGGAUUUAAAUCUCCAUUGUGUUGUCUUUUAUCAUCCGAAAUCAAAAUUGGUUUCUUUACCUUUUGUAUAUAUUUAAAGGGGGUUAAGUUUGUUGGCGACUCAGGUUUGAAGACUCUCAUAUCAAGCUGUAUGGUUCUUGAGGAUUUAAUUAUGAUUACGCAUCUGAAUGAUUAUCUCAAAGUCAUACAUGUUCAUUCUCAAUCACUGAAAAGCAUCAUACUAGAGUCUCAGCAUAUAUUGAAUAUGAUGAUCUUGUGGUUAAAAUUGAUGCUCCGAGUCUUGAAUAUAUGAGUAUUCAUGAUUACCAAUCUAAAAGCUUUCUAAGCCCAUUCCAACUCUCCUUCAAUAUGAUACUUUCUGCUUUGGGCCUACAUGCUCAACCCGUAUGGAUUUGUUAUUGGCUUCUUCCAAAAUGCCUCAUUCUAGUUGGAAUUGGACUUGACUUAUAUAUUAGACACUUAUUUUCUAAACUUUCGAUAUGGGAUGUUUGUUUGUACCCAAUAAUCUCCCCUUCAAACCAAGAACCACGGACAUUGGACCUCUUUUUAAGCGAAACUUUGGUACCCUUAACUCGGCACCUUCUUAUUUUCGAAGUUCUUGAAUCACUUUCUUAUCAUGUCACAUUUAAUGGCUUCUUCCACACCGAACUUUUAGCCCACACCCCUAAAUCCAUUUUUUCAACCUAGGCUGUGAUACUAUUUAGUGGGUUUUCUAAGUCAUUCCAACUCUCAAUUAGUAUAAUAUUGUCCGUUUUGACCCUACAUGCCAAAGCCCGCAAGGAUUUGUUAUUGGGUUCCUUCCCAAAAAGCUUCAUACUAAUUGGAGUUUGACUAGACUUAUAUAUUAGACCCUUCUUUUCUAAACUUCUAAUGUGGGACGUUGGUUUAUACAACAACAACAUAGUAGUGGUUCCUCUAUAGAGGUAAACGUUGAUGUUGUGUUUGGUAUCGAGUAUUAUGAUCCAUUGGAAAUAACUAAACUCCAUAAUAUUCUCACUAGGACCAUAUUUGAAAAAGUGACCAUAUCUGUUAGAACUAUAGAGGUACAUUUACUUUCUUUAGUUCUAUUCACAGAUUAUCCAUUCCAUGGUGGAACCGUCGCCUCCAUUUUCUAACUUGUCUCGCUUGGAUGCCUCAUUAGUAAAAUCUUCUUGGAAAGUUUGAUGCAUGAAUCUACAUUCACUCACAAUAGUGCAUUUAUCGGUUUGCUAGGGUGGGUAUCUGGCUAACAAGUGGCGGAGAGUCCGAGAGUUGAACUAUUAUGGAAAGCUAGUUGUGGGUCCGGCUUACCACUUGUAACAUAUUUGAGAAGGGAUUCAAAUACUCUCACAUCUUUAGCACAAAUUCCAAAACAACAUCUCCAAACCAGCUUUCAUUAAUAUCUAUAAAUGGUCUAACUUGAAAACAAUUGUACACAACUUUAUCAAAAGUUUGACUACUAAAGUAAAUUUUCCUUCCGUAGUUGUUUUACCAUUUAAUGGGAUGAUUGGUAAACACUUUGGAGGCUUCAAAUUUUUUUACAAGUCUUUACAGUUUAUGGGACUGAUUGGAAAUCCUUGUUAGUUAAGGCCGUAGAAACGUUUUGACUGUAAGAAUUUUUGUUGUAGAAACUGUUGUUCUAUGGACUAUAACUAUAUAAAUUUUAUAAUUGAUUGGUAAAGACUUUUUUAAAAGCUUGAUUGGAAAAAAAACUGUGGAAACUUUUGAAAAGCUUCUCAAUCACACUUUGUCGGUUUUAACAAAUUUAAAAGCCUCUAGAGCCAUAUUUAUUUUUAGUUUUUACUCUUUACUACCAAUUUUAUUUUUAAAGCCACGUAAACAUGAGUUUAAAAAUAAAAACAAGAAAAGCUUAUAAUUUUCUCUUUUCUUCUUCGCCAUAUGUAUAAAACCUCUCAUCACAUUCACUUAUAAAUUAGCUUUUUAAAAGAAAAAUAGUUGAUUAACAAUUGAAUUGUUUAUCUUCUUUUUUUAAGAUCCAUUAUCCAUAUUUUUGGUAAUUAUUUAAAAUCGUUAUUUCUAUAUUCACAUGUUUUCCUAAAGUCAAAGUUCUUACAACAAAAGUCUUUGCAGGCCAAAAUCUAUAUAACCGAAAGUAACAGCGGUUACCAAUUAGUCCUUAAAAGUAAUUUUUUACGAUACAUUCCUCAUCCUAUAAAGAAUACUAUACGAAAAAGGUUUACGUUCAAGUUUUCUACUAAUGACCAUUAAAAGAACAAAAAAGAAAUGAAGCACAUGAACAAUGAGGAAUGUAACAUAAUUUUUUGUGGAAUGGAAAGGAAAAUUUACUCGAAAAGAAUAAAAAUAUACUUAUGAUGAAUGGUAACCAAACAAAAACAAUAUUUUAAGAAUAUUUCUUUUAUAUUUAAUAAUUUAAUACAAUUAUUUUAAUCAAAUGUAAAAUUAUUCCACAAAAAAAAAUCAAAUGUAAAAUUAACUAAAUACAAAGUAUUUUCACUAAUAUUAUUUCGUAAUUAUUUCAUAUAUUUUUAAAAAAUAAUGUUAUUUUUCCAUUCCUUAUAAUUGUAUAUCUUAUUUUUUUCUCUGAAUUUUUAUUAUUUUUAUGUUUCAUUCUUUUUUUUUACAGCUUUAUGUUUCAUUCUUCAUUAUUCAUUUUGUAUAAUUGUUUUUGUUUAUUUAAUGGUCACGAGUAGAAGAAUGAUAUUCUUUGUGUCUUUUUUUCACAAAGAAUGAUAUUCUAAACUCCAAAAUAUUAAUUGUAAAAAUUAUUGAUUGUAAUUGGUGAGCAGAUAGGGAAUGUAUUUUGUGUGAAAAUAUAAAAAUGCAUAAUUAAUUAUUAUUUAUUUUUUAAUUUUUAAAAAAUAAAAAUAAAAAGUCAUUGUAUAAGGAAUAAAGGUAAUGAUAUCUUAAACCAAUAUCAAUAAUUAAUAAGAUUAUUUCAAAUAUUACUAUGGAAAUUUAUUUUCAUAAAGUCUUUUCGAAGACAUUCGAGAACAAAAUCAUUUUUGAUGAAUAAUUGAUACCAGAAUUAUUAUACUUACUUUACAUAAAAUCUUAAGUUAUAUAUGAAAAUUGAAACAUAUCCAGAAACAAAUAAUCAAACAUUAAAAUCAAGAAAUACAUGUAUGAAUGGAGUUUGAAGGUACUUGUGUUUUCUUUAACCAUGAGAUCUAAAUCUGGGACCUAAUCCUAUUUCUCGGAGAACAACAAAUUUGGAUCCCGGAUAAUUUGACCAUAUUAAUCGGGUUCUUUAUAGCUAUUUAUAAAUUUCAAGGAUCUGACUAAAAACACACAACAAAAUAAAAAAUUAAUAGAACAUGAGAUAAAAGUCAAUUGGAGAAUAUCCAAUAAAACAUCAAGUAGACAAAAUUUUGUGAACAUCAUAUGUAAAAUAUUGAAAUUAAUUGAAACGAAUAGAAACUGUAAAUGUUCUUAUUAUAUUGGCACAUACCUUUCGAUGAAUGGUAAAAAAAAUUCGAGGGGAAGAGAUACUAGGCUUUCCACUGGCCGAUCAUUGAGCUUCGCUCCAAAAGAGAGGCAUUUUAUUUGAUAAGAUCUUGGUCUCAUAGAUUCUCAUCUAAUGUAAUCAAAGAUUUUAUAUUUUGUUUUCUAAGAGAUCGGCGGCACAAGUACUAGAAAACAGUUUUGAGAGUUUGUAAACCUAUAUACUACUGAAAUUAACCUAAAAAUGGAUUAAGACACAUUUAAAACGACAAUGUAUAAAAUGCUCUGGUCCUGGCUUGGAGGAGUGUUCAGGUCUAGGCCCAG
Molecule: long non-coding RNA, 11759 nt
Filed under: Arabidopsis thaliana (thale cress)
Lineage: Eukaryota; Viridiplantae; Streptophyta; Magnoliopsida; Brassicales; Brassicaceae
Description: long non-coding RNA (ATHA_LNC000596)
Source: RNAcentral